This 311-nucleotide ribosomal RNA is filed under the name uncultured bacterium. Its description in RNAcentral is "bacterial SSU rRNA". It matches the Rfam family "Bacterial small subunit ribosomal RNA", at positions 28 to 334 of the family's 1533-position model. The record is from RNAcentral.
GAUGGACGCUAGCUACAGGCUUAACACAUGCAAGUCGAGGGGCAGCACUAGGUAGCAAUACUGAGGUGGCGACCGGCGCACGGGUGCGUAACGCGUAUCCAACCUUCCCGUUACUCAGGGAUAGCCUUCCGAAAGGGAGACUAAUACCUGAUGGUAUUCAAAUUUCGCACGUUAAUUGAAUUAAAGAUUUAUCGGUAACGGAUGGGGAUGCGUGACAUUAGGUAGAUGGCGGGGUAACGGCCCACCAUGCCUACGAUGUCUAGGGGUUCUGAGAGGAAGGUCCCCCACGCUGGAACUGAGACACGGUUCAG